UUUUUAAAUAAUUCAAUGAAUUUUAUAUUUAUUGUUAUACAACCAUGAUAACAACCUAAUUUUAUUUUAUCUUAUUUAUUUAUUUUUGUCUUUUUGCCAUUUCUUGGGCCGCUCCCGCAGCAUAUGGAACUUCCCAGACUAGGAGUUGAAUUGGAGCCGUAGUCCCUGACCUACACCACAGCUCAUGGCAGCACCAGAUUCUUAACCCACUGAGCGAGGCCAGGGAUCCAACCUGUGUCCUCAUGGAUACUAGUUGGGUUCAUUACCACUGAGCCACAACAGUAACUCCGUGUAAACUUUUUGAUGAUGUCCAUUCUGACUGAUGUAAGAUGGUACCUCAUUUUAGUUUUGGGGUUUUGUGUGGCGGGUGGGGGGGUGGGUGCUUAGGGCUGCACUGACGUAAUACAUGUUUUUAGUAAAGGACCACCCCCCCCCCCUUGACUAAAAAGGCAGCUGCAAGCCUUUUCAGCUAUGCUUGCCUCAUACCACCCUUCUUGUAAUAAUGUAGCAACCAUGUACCCUAUGUCCAAGCCAGAAGCCCUGCUAAUUGUGUUCCCAGCAUUGCUUAUCAGUUCUGCUUCUGUAACCUUGCUUGCUCAGUUUCUUAGGGAGGAACAGUGUCUGCUUGGGGAAGGGGGGAGGUCCGGGAUGCUUAAGAGGGAAAAUCAAGACCUUGUAAUGUAUCAAAGUUGCAGAGAACAAAGACCUGGUGCUCAGACUCUGGAGGUGACUCCUCUGAGCCCGCACCAGAGCUGAAUAAUCCUUGCUUUUCCAUAUCUCCGAGUGCUGUUUGUCUCCUUCCACUGCCAUGGUUUUUGUGGUUUCCACAACAGCACCAGCAACAUAUGCAGGUUCCCAGGCAAGGGGGCAAAUCCGAGCUGCAGCUGCUGGCCUACAUACACCACAGCCACAGCAAUGCCAGAUCCGAGUUAAGUCUUGGACCUACACCAUAGCUAAUGGCAACACUCGAUCCUUAACCCACUGAGUGAGGCCAGGGAUCGAACCCAAGUCCUCAUGGAUACUCGUCAGGUUUGUUACCAGUAAGCCACCAGGGGAACUCCCCUCAUUGUAAUGUUGAUUUUCAAUUCCCUAAUAGUGCUGUGGAGCAUCUUUUUAUGUCUUUUAUUUUUGUCUUUUUGCCACUUCUUCGGCCGCUCCCGCGGCAUAUGGAGGUUCCCAAGCUAGGGGUCGAAUUGGAACUGUAGACACCGGCCUACACCAGAGCCACAGCAAAGUGGGAUCCGAGCCGUGUCUGCAACCUACACCACAGAUCACAGCAACGCUGGAUCAUUAACCCACUGAGCAAGAGCAGGGACCGAACCCACAACCUCAUGGUUCCUAGUUGGAUUCGUUAACCACUGCGCCAUGACGGGAACUCCUUUUUAUGUGUUUUUUGCCCAGGUUUUUGUCUUUGGAGAAAUGUCUGUUUAGAUCUUCUGCCCCCUCCCCCCUUUUGGUCUUUAUAGGGCUGCAUAUGCGACACAUAGAGGCUCCCAAGCCAGGGUCUAAUCAGAGUUACAGCUGCCGGCCUUUACCACAGCCACAGCAAUGUAGAUUGGAGGUUCGUCUGUGACGUACACCACAGCUCACUGAAAGGCCAGAUCCCUAACGCACUGAGCGAGGCCAGAGAUUGAACCCGCAACCUCAUGGUUCCUGGUUAGACUCGUUUCCGCUGCGCCAUGACGGGAACUCCGAGAGCUAUUCUUUAUCCUCGAUUUUCCCUCCUGAGAGUAAAUACAAACUAGAGGUCCCCAAAAAAUCUGUUGACUCUUUUAUUCUGGCAGAGCAGGGAGUAUCUACUCUCAGUCCGUCCACAGCAGAUAUUAAAUAGCAUCCCACGAAUAAACAUCCUUCAUCUAUAAGAACCUUAUCACCACACACACCUGCAGGGUGAGCUGGGCAGUCCUGGGGUGGGUGAGUCUCAGGGUGGAAAAAAAUCAACCCAACUCUUACAAGUCAGUCAAAUAUACUAAGAAGGUAAAUCUCCAUAAGCCACUUGCAGAAGCCAGCUAGAGUCCUCCAAAGCUGGGCUGGGUCAUAACCCACCAAAAACAAUCAGCGGGGAGGGACAGAGGCGGAAAGAGGCAGCUCAAAAGUCAAGCAACUGGUGAGUCGUCCAGAUGAAGGAAAAGCAGAGCUUUCUGUCCUCUCUGAGCACCUCAAGGAGGAUUCUUGAGCCCUGUGAUCCCCUGGUAUACAGUAGAGAAAGGUUCCUAUAACAGCUACUGGCAGCAGCUUAUUUUUGCCAAGGACUCCAGGCAGGUCCGAAAGUGCAAGGUGCAUCCUGAAAUCUUCCAGUCUUCUUGGUACUUAAGAGAAUUUCCCUAGGAUGUCUGGAUGCAUGAGGUUCCAUGUCUGGCUGAUUUCUCCUCCACAAAGGCUAAUCUCCAGAGCUUUGCUCUGAAAUUGUAGAACAAGGGAAGAGGACAUUGCAUGCAUUUCGAAGACGUUUCUCCAAUUUAAAUUUAUUAGAGUUGUUGGAGUUUAGGUUAAGAGCUGAAUAACUGUCAGCAGUCACUACACUCACAAUACUCUUCCGGGUGCAUCGUUGCUUUGCAAGAUUUAAACAUUCUUUUUUGGCCGUGCCUGUAGGAUGUGGAAGUUCCCGGGCCAGGGACUGAACCCGCACCACAGCAGUAACCCAAGCCACUGCAGUGACAAUGCUGGAUCCUUAACCCGAUUUUGCCACCAGAGAACUCCCAGAUUUAAAUGUUCUUGAUAGUGGGACACAACACAAUGACACCCGGGCAGAUAAAAGGCAGAAUUCUCUGUGACUCAGGGCUUAAAAAGAGAGAAGGGCAUCAAGGAAGACCACACACUGGGCCGUCCAGCAGACACAGCAAGCAACCUGGAGCUGCAGAGAGCACCCUAUAUAUAGCAAGUCUCCUGGGGCCAGCUAGGUGUCCUAGGCUCCCUGAGGAUUGCUUGUCUGGAAUAACUUCAUGGGGUCAGGGGCAUACAGGCUGACUCUAGUUGCCUGGUACCCUGCCUCUGGGACAGAAGGAAUGGUGUACAGCAGCCCAGAGGCUGAGCGCCUGAUACAGAGAGUGGUUGGCUGUGGACUUAAUCAGCUGCUCCAAAAGGGGAAAUGAGUAGCCUCAAGCCAGGGACUCAAAGCUGGAUCAAGACACUAUUUUCAUAAAAGUACAGAGCAAAACACUGUGGAACUGCCAUAAAGACAAACAUCUAGACCACUGAAACAGAACAGAGGGCCCAGAACUGAAAGCCAGUAUACUUGAUCAAAUAAUUAACAAGAGUGUCAAGACGAUUCCAUAGAAGAACAGUCUUUCCCACAGAUUGUAGGCAAGUGGCUCUCUCCAUUCAAAUGAACAAAGUUGGACCCUGACCUUAACCACAUCCAAAAAUGUGCUCAAAAUGGAUCAGACCUAACAAGAAGAGGUAAACUCAUAAAACUCUUAGAUGAAGGCAUGGGGGAAAGCUUCAUGACAUUGGGUUUGGAAAUAACUUCUUGGCACUGACAUGAAAAGCAUAGGAAACAAAAGCAAAACUAGGUAAAGUUACAAACGUCUGUGCAAAGGACACAAUCAGCAGUGAAAAAGCAACCUAAUAAAUAGAAGACAAACAUUUGAAAAUCCUAUGUGUGAUAAGUGGUUUGUAUCUAGAUUGUAUAAAGAACUGCUAUAACGCAUCCAUAAGAACACAACUUGAUUUUAAAAGGGGCAAACAUAAGACGUUUUUACAAAGAAUGAACACAAAUGGCCAAGAAGGCAUGAUCACUAAUCAGUAGGGAAAUGCUAUAACAAAAAACAAAAAAACCCCAAAACCCACAAUGAAGGAGAAACUACCUCAUACCCAUUAGGACAGCUACUAUGAAACCUGAAAUGGAAAGCAGAAUUAAGUUGAUGAAGAUGCAGACAUUAGAACGAUGUGAAGUUUUGAUGGGAAUAUAACAUGCUCAAGCUGGUAAAACAGGUCGACAUAUUAAAAAUAGCAUGAUCACAUGAUCCAGGAAUUCUACUUCUGUUUAUACCCCCAGAAGAACUGAAAGCAGUAUUUUCAAGGAGGUAUGUGUGGAAGUUCCCUUGUGGCGCAGCAGGUUAAAGAUCCAGCAUUGCUGCAGCUGUGGCACAGGUCACAAUGUGGCAUGGGUUCAAUCCCUGGCUCAGGAACUUCCACAUGCCAAACAAACAAAAGAACAAAUCAAGGAGCUAUCUGUGCAGUCAUUUUCACAGCAGCACUUUUUGC
Molecule: long non-coding RNA, 4206 nt
Filed under: Sus scrofa (pig)
Lineage: Eukaryota; Metazoa; Chordata; Mammalia; Artiodactyla; Suidae
Description: lncRNA (ENSSSCG00005029460.1)
Source: RNAcentral